This 497-nucleotide ribosomal RNA is filed under the name uncultured bacterium. RNAcentral's name for it is "partial 16S ribosomal RNA". It matches the Rfam family "Bacterial small subunit ribosomal RNA", at positions 28 to 507 of the family's 1533-position model. The record is from RNAcentral.
GACGAACGCUGGCGGCGUGCCUAAUACAUGCGAGUUGAGCGCUGAAGGUUGGUACUUGUACCGACUGGAUGAGCAGCGAACGGGUGAGUAACGCGUGGGGAAUCUGCCUUUGAGCGGGGGACAACAUUUGGAAACGAAUGCUAAUACCGCAUAAAAACUUUAAACACAAGUUUUAAGUUUGAAAGAUGCAAUUGCAUCACUCAAAGAUGAUCCCGCGUUGUAUUAGCUAGUUGGUGAGGUAAAGGCUCACCAAGGCGAUGAUACAUAGCCGACCUGAGAGGGGGAUCGGCCACAUUGGGACUGAGACACGGCCCAAACUCCUACGGGAGGCAGCAGUAGGGAAUCUUCGGCAAUGGACGAAAGUCUGACCGAGCAACGCCGCGUGAGUGAAGAAGGUUUUCGGAUCGUAAAACUCUGUUGGUAGAGAAGAACGUUGGUGAGAGUGGAAAGCUCAUCAAGUGACGGUAACUACCCAGAAAGGGACGGCUAACUACGUG